Molecule: ribosomal RNA, 497 nt
Filed under: uncultured bacterium
Lineage: Bacteria
Description: partial 16S ribosomal RNA
Rfam family: Bacterial small subunit ribosomal RNA
Source: RNAcentral
GAUGAACGCUGGCGGCGUGCCUAAUACAUGCAAGUCGAGCGAACAGACGAGGAGCUUGCUCCUCUGACGUUAGCGGCGGACGGGUGAGUAACACGUGGAUAACCUACCUAUAAGACUGGGAUAACUUCGGGAAACCGGAGCUAAUACCGGAUAAUAUAUUGAACCGCAUGGUUCAAUAGUGAAAGACGGUUUUGCUGUCACUUAUAGAUGGAUCCGCGCCGCAUUAGCUAGUUGGUAAGGUAACGGCUUACCAAGGCAACGAUGCGUAGCCGACCUGAGAGGGGGAUAGGCCACACGGGAACUGAGACACGGUCCAGACUCCUACGGGAGGCAGCAGUAGGGAAUCUUCCGCAAAGGGCGAAAGCCUGACGGAGCAACGCCGCGUGAGUGAUGAAGGUCUUCGGAUCGUAAAACUCUGUUAUUAGGGAAGAACAAAUGUGUAAGUAACUAUGCACGUCUUGACGGUACCGAAUCAGAAAGCCACGGCUAACUACGUG